Long non-coding RNA from Rhipicephalus sanguineus (brown dog tick), 1259 nucleotides. RefSeq lists it as uncharacterized. The transcript has 4 exons. The record is from RefSeq and is a predicted model, not a curated record. NCBI's taxonomy places the organism in Eukaryota, Metazoa, Arthropoda, Arachnida, Ixodida, Ixodidae.
AAUUAUACUGCAUCAGAACUGUCAAUUGGGCGAGUUGGUGUGCUUCCAUUUUGAACGAAUAUCAGCGCGACAAAAAGCGAGGACGAGAAUAGAAAAGACAGACUACAGCGCUGACUCGCAACUAAAUUUUAUUCCGAAAAGAACCAGAAUAAAUAACAUCAGUAAAACCUAAGGAAAGAAACGACCAUCGUGCAUGCUCAACAACGAAAGGCUAUGUGGCUGAUGAGACGUGGACGUGACGCAAGCUAUCCGUGAGGUGUCACGUGGGCAAAAAACUCGGCUGACCGCAACCGGCUGGACGUGCUACAGCAUCUCUUUGGCGGUAUCAUGUAUAAUGGCUUCGCACUCCGCGAUCUUUAUUUCACCGUACGACCGGAAGGAGCACCUCCGAAUAGUACGCUUUACCGCUUCAACCUGACAUAUGGAAAGUUUGAAAAUAUUGCUCAAAAGCUGACGCCUAAACCCGAGAUGUGCCGUGUUGAUUGCUCAGCCAAUCACGUGAGUUCAAGAUGCCACUUUGAUCUCAAGGACGCCUCUGCUACGUACCUAGCCAAGAUGUCCCACGGAGCAAACGUAGUGCAACAGUUCAAUCUCUAUGUAUGGCUAACUGAGUUCCCGUUCGGCGACCACCUAAACCCUGCUUCACUGACAAUGACAAUUCUUCAGACUUCUGGAAACUUAUACGGAAGGCACAAUAUACGAGAAUGCUUGAUUACGAAUUUUCUGGUGGAUGGGGUCUCUUUUCCUCCGUUCAGGGAAUUCCGAAUAUUUCGCAACAAUAUCUCAUUGGCAGAUAAAGUGUGGGAACGAGGUUGAAGUGAAAUUGUUCACGGAAGUUAGGCUUAGUGUCACGAGAACCAUAAAAGAAACAUGUUUAUACAAACUACAACAAAAGAAUGUUAACUUGUCGUUUGUUUGCAGUUAGCUUACAUAACACCGUUCAGCUUAAAAAAUAUUUCCUACAAGCUCACUGAGUUUGAACUACUUCACGGCUUUAUUCUAUAAAAUCGGGCUCACCGAUAAGCCAACUUGGCGUGUCGAACGUAUCGCAACUAUAAUACUAAAUCUAUGAUGUCUUAUAUUUCUUAUUUUUGCACAUGUCCUUCUAGUUAAUCAACGGAUGAUUACAAUUGAUAAAUCUACAGUCGCCAAUGUUUAACAUAGAUCGGCACGUUGUAAAUCUGCGGCUAGUAACAUAAUUCCAUUUGCUAUACUCCUUCACCGACAGGAAGUCACUGCUAGCCCCAGCUGAAAUUUUU